Molecule: unclassified non-coding RNA, 336 nt
Filed under: soil metagenome
Description: partial contains 5.8S ribosomal RNA, internal transcribed spacer 2, and large subunit ribosomal RNA
Rfam family: 5.8S ribosomal RNA (bases 1-120)
Source: RNAcentral
GAUGAAGAACGUAGCGAAAUGCGAUAAGUAAUGUGAAUUGCAGAACUCAGUGAAUCAUCGAAUCUUUGAACGCACAUUGCGCCCCCUGGCCUUCCGGGGGGCAUGCCUGUUCGAGCGUCAUUUGUACCUUCAAGCUUUGCUUGGUGUUGGGUGUUUGUCUCGCCUUUGCGUGUAGACUCGCCUUAAAAUAAUUGGCAGCCGGCGUAUUGAUUUCGGAGCGCAGUACAUCUCGCGCUUUGCACUCAUAACGACAGCGUCCAAAAGUACAUUUUACACUCUUGACCUCGGAUCAGGUAGGGAUACCCGCUGAACUUAAGCAUAUCAAUAAGCGGAGGA